Molecule: long non-coding RNA, 926 nt
Filed under: Ananas comosus (pineapple)
Lineage: Eukaryota; Viridiplantae; Streptophyta; Magnoliopsida; Poales; Bromeliaceae
Description: long non-coding RNA (ACOM_LNC005203)
Source: RNAcentral
UAGGAGUGAUUGAGCACUAGGCUAGGGCUACUAUACUUUUAUGAGUAUAGAGCCCUUCAUACUCAUAAGUUGUUUUUAAUGAUGGAGCUUCCGAAUCGACGAUCCAUCCCGUUAAAUAUGAUAUAGAGUAUUUGAAACUCUUCUAGAAAAUAAAUUUCGUAAUUUUUCGAAAUCAUAAUAAAGUUCAUCAAGCGGGUAUAAUUAAAAUGAACAGUCAAAAUCGAAUGACGUCUUAAAAAUGGAUGUUCGGAUCCUUCAAUUUAUGAUCGGAGUUAUUAAUCUUUAUCUACGUAGUGAAUAGAAUUUUCUAUCAAAAAUUCAACCGAUUUCGAUUCUUUUACACCGUUAAACUGGCAAAUAUCUUAUACCGGCCACCAAAAAUUGUUAAUUUUGUGACCUUUUGAUCGUAAGGUAAAUGAUGUCGAAAAAUUAUAAAAUUUGAUGUCGAAAAAUUAUAAAAUUUGAUUUCUAAACGUUUUAAAUGUUCUAGAUAACGUUAACGGUGUGAAAGCUCUAACAUCGGAAAUAAUUUAUGAAUAUGAGUGUAACGACCCAGCACACUAGUAACAAUAACUCGUUGGGCCCAACCACCAGCCCAAAAUGCUUAAGCCCAGUUAUUAUUACUAGUGUCUAAGUCUCUUAUAAACCCAAUGACAACCCCAUUCCCAUCCGAUGUGGGAUUAUUGGGGUGUCACAUACUAAAUGUAACGACCCAGCCCACUAGCAACAAUAACUCGUCGGGCCCAACAACCGGCCCAAAAUGCUUAAGUCCAGUUAUUAUUAUUAGUGUCUAAGUCUCUUAUAAACCCAAUGACAACCCCAUUCCCAUCCGAUGUGGGACUAUUGGGGUGUCACAACGAGAGCGAUCGUAUUCAUAAGAAUAUAGUAGCCGGAUUCGUGAGCACUAUAUGUUAUUUGAACCGAAC